RNAcentral lists this transfer RNA (75 nucleotides) under Chloroflexota bacterium. RNAcentral's name for it is "Chloroflexi bacterium (cold seep metagenome) tRNA-Pro". It matches the Rfam family "tRNA". Rfam says of the family: Transfer RNA (tRNA) molecules are approximately 80 nucleotides in length. Their secondary structure includes four short double-helical elements and three loops (D, anti-codon, and T loops). The record is from RNAcentral. Lineage: Bacteria; Bacillati; Chloroflexota.
CGGGGCGUAGCUCAGUCCGGCAAGAGCGCUCGGUUCGGGUCCGUGAGGUCGCCGGUUCAAAUCCGGCCGCCCCGA